This 946-nucleotide ribosomal RNA is filed under the name Kylindria aquatica. RNAcentral describes it as "Kylindria sp. SM-2018a partial 28S ribosomal RNA". It matches the Rfam family "Eukaryotic large subunit ribosomal RNA", at positions 83 to 1061 of the family's 3401-position model. Lineage: Eukaryota; Fungi; Ascomycota; Sordariomycetes; Glomerellales; Reticulascaceae. The record is from RNAcentral.
GUAACGGCGAGUGAAGCGGCAACAGCUCAAAUUUGAAAUCUGGCUCUCGGGCCCGAGUUGUAAUUUGCAGAGGAUGCUUUGGGCGCGGUUCCCUCCGAGUUCCCUGGAACGGGACGCCAUAGAGGGUGAGAGCCCCGUACGGUCGGACGCCAAGCCUAUGUAAAGCUCCUUCGACGAGUCGAGUAGUUUGGGAAUGCUGCUCAAAAUGGGAGGUAAAUUUCUUCUAAAGCUAAAUACUGGCCAGAGACCGAUAGCGCACAAGUAGAGUGAUCGAAAGAUGAAAAGCACUUUGAAAAGAGGGUUAAAUAGCACGUGAAAUUGUUGAAAGGGAAGCGCUUGUGAUCAGACUUGCGCCUGGUAAAUCAUCUAGCGUUCUCGCUAGUGCACUUUGCCGGCACAGGCCAGCAUCAGUUCGCUGUCGGGGACAAAAGCUUCAGGAACGUGGCUCUCUCCGGGGAGUGUUAUAGCCUGCUGCACAAUACCCUUCGGCGGACUGAGGUACGCGCUCCGCAAGGAUGCUGGCGUAAUGGUCAUCAGCGACCCGUCUUGAAACACGGACCAAGGAGUCAACCUUAUGUGCGAGUGGUUUGGGUGUCAAACCCCUACGCGUAAUGAAAGUGAACGUAGGUGAGAGCUUCGGCGCAUCAUCGACCGAUCCUGAUGUCUUCGGAUGGAUUUGAGUAAGAGCAUAUAAGGGUUGGACCCGAAAGAAGGUGAACUAUGCGUGUAUAGGGUGAAGCCAGAGGAAACUCUGGUGGAGGCUCGCAGCGGUUCUGACGUGCAAAUCGAUCGUCAAAUAUGCGCAUGGGGGCGAAAGACUAAUCGAACCUUCUAGUAGCUGGUUUCCGCCGAAGUUUCCUCAGGAUAGCAGUGUUGAACUCAGUUUUAUGAGGUAAAGCGAAUGAUUAGGGACUCGGGGGCUACUUUUUGCCUUAUCCAUUCUCAA